RNAcentral lists this ribosomal RNA (492 nucleotides) under uncultured bacterium. RNAcentral's name for it is "partial 16S ribosomal RNA". It matches the Rfam family "Bacterial small subunit ribosomal RNA", at positions 29 to 507 of the family's 1533-position model. The record is from RNAcentral.
AGUGAACGCUGGCGGUAGGCCUAACACAUGCAAGUCGAACGGCAGCACAGUAAGAGCUUGCUCUUACGGGUGGCGAGUGGCGGACGGGUGAGGAAUACAUCGGAAUCUACUUUUUCGUGGGGGAUAACGUAGGGAAACUUACGCUAAUACCGCAUACGACCUACGGGUGAAAGCAGGGGAACUUCGGACCUUGCGCGAUUGAAUGAGCCGAUGUCGGAUUAGCUAGUUGGCGGGGUAAAGGCCCACCAAGGCGACGAUCCGUAGCUGGUCUGAGAGGAUGAUCGGCCACACUGGAACUGAGACACGGUCCAGACGCCUACGGGAGGCAGCAGUGGGGAAUAUUGGACAAUGGGCGCAAGCCUGAUCCAGCCAUACCGCGUGGGUGAAGAAGGCCUUCGGGUUGUAAAGCCCUUUUGUUGGGAAAGAAAAGCAGCAGGUUAAUACCCCGCUGUUCUGACGGUACCCAAAGAAUAAGCACCGGCUAACUUCGUG